GGCUCACCAAGCCGACGAUCUGUAGACUGGUCUGAGAGGACGACCAGCCACACUGGGACUGAGACACGGCCCAGACUCCUACCGGGAGGCAGCAGUGGGGGAAUUUUUGGCAAUGGGCGCAAGCCCUGAUCCAGCAAUGCCGCGUGCCAGGGAUGAAAGGCCUUCGGGUUGUAAACUGCUUUUGUACGGAACGAAACGGUGAGCUCUAAUACAGUUUGCUAAUGACGGUACCGUAAGAAUAAGCACCGGCUAACUACGUG
This 260-nucleotide ribosomal RNA is filed under the name uncultured bacterium. RNAcentral's name for it is "partial 16S ribosomal RNA". It matches the Rfam family "Bacterial small subunit ribosomal RNA", at positions 262 to 507 of the family's 1533-position model. The record is from RNAcentral.